CGCGGGCUAUACAUGCAAGUCGAGCGGACAGAAGGGAGCUUGCUCCCGGAUGUUAGCGGCGGACGGGUGAGUAACACGUGGGUAACCUGCCUGUAAGACUGGGAUAACUCCGGGAAACCGGAGCUAAUACCGGAUAGUUCCUUGAACCGCAUGGUUCAAGGAUGAAAGACGGUUUCGGCUGUCACUUACAGAUGGACCCGCGGCGCAUUAGCUAGUUGGUGGGGUAAUGGCUCACCAAGGCGACGAUGCGUAGCCGACCUGAGAGGGUGAUCGGCCACACUGGGACUGAGACACGGCCCAGACUCCUACGGGAGGCAGCAGUAGGGAAUCUUCCGCAAUGGACGAAAGUCUGACGGAGCAACGCCGCGUGAGUGAUGAAGGUUUUCGGAUCGUAAAGCUCUGUUGUUAGGGAAGAACAAGUGCGAGAGUAACUGCUCGCACCUUGACGGUACCUAACCAGAAAGCCACGGCUAACUACGUGCCAGCAGCCGCGGUAAUACGUAGGUGGCAAGCGUUGUCCGGAAUUAUUGGGCGUAAAGGGCUCGCAGGCGGUUUCUUAAGUCUGAUGUGAAAGCCCCCGGCUCAACCGGGGAGGGUCAUUGGAAACUGGGAAACUUGAGUGCAGAAGAGGAGAGUGGAAUUCCACGUGUAGCGGUGAAAUGCGUAGAGAUGUGGAGGAACACCAGUGGCGAAGGCGACUCUCUGGUCUGUAACUGACGCUGAGGAGCGAAAGCGUGGGGAGCGAACAGGAUUAGAUACCCUGGUAGUCCACGCCGUAAACGAUGAGUGCUAAGUGUUAGGGGGUUUCCGCCCCUUAGUGCUGCAGCUAACGCAUUAAGCACUCCGCCUGGGGAGUACGGUCGCAAGACUGAAACUCAAAGGAAUUGACGGGGGCCCGCACAAGCGGUGGAGCAUGUGGUUUAAUUCGAAGCAACGCGAAGAACCUUACCAGGUCUUGACAUCCUCUGACAACCCUAGAGAUAGGGCUUUCCCUUCGGGGACAGAGUGACAGGUGGUGCAUGAUGUCGUCAGCUCGUGUCGUGAGAUGUUGGGUAGUCCCGCACGAGCGCACCUUGAUCUAGUGCCAGCAUUCAGUGGCACUCUAGUGACUGCAUGACAACCGAGAAGGGGGGGAAUGAACGUCAAUCAUC
Molecule: ribosomal RNA, 1151 nt
Filed under: Bacillus safensis
Lineage: Bacteria; Bacillati; Bacillota; Bacilli; Caryophanales; Bacillaceae
Description: bacterial SSU rRNA
Rfam family: Bacterial small subunit ribosomal RNA
Source: RNAcentral